RNAcentral lists this ribosomal RNA (407 nucleotides) under uncultured bacterium. RNAcentral describes it as "partial 16S ribosomal RNA". It matches the Rfam family "Bacterial small subunit ribosomal RNA", at positions 30 to 526 of the family's 1533-position model. The record is from RNAcentral.
AUUGAACGCUGGCGGCAGGCCUAACACAUGCAAGUCGAGCGGAGCUGCGGACGGGUAGGUAAUGCCUAGGAAUCUGCAUGUUAGUGGGGGAUAACGUCCGGAAACGGGCGCUAAUACCGCAUACUCUCAGAUGAGCCUAGGUGGGAUUAGCUAGUUGGUGGGGUAAAGGCCUACCAAGGCGACGAUGCGUAGCUGGGCUGAGAGGAUGAUGAGUCACACUGGAACUGAGACACGGUCCAGACUCCUACGGGAGGCAGCAGGGGGGAAUCUUGGACAAUGGGCGAAAGCCUGAUCCAGCAACGCCGCGUGUGUGAAGAAGGUCUUCGGAUUGUAAAGCACUUUAAGUUGGGAGGCGUUACCAACAGAAUAAGCACCGGCUAACUUCGUGCCAGCAGCCGCGGUAAUUC